This 549-nucleotide ribosomal RNA is filed under the name Penicillium expansum. RNAcentral's name for it is "eukaryotic LSU rRNA". The stretch from base 208 to 361 matches the Rfam family "5.8S ribosomal RNA". Lineage: Eukaryota; Fungi; Ascomycota; Eurotiomycetes; Eurotiales; Aspergillaceae. The record is from RNAcentral.
AGUAUUGCUGACCUGCGGAAGGAUCAUUACCGAGUGAGGGCCCUCUGGGUCCAACCUCCCCACCCGUGUUUAUCGUACCUUGUUGCUUCGGCGGGCCCGCCUCACGGCCGCCGGGGGGCAUCCGCCCCCGGGCCCGCGCCCGCCGAAGACACACAAACGAACUCUUGUCUGAAGAUUGCAGUCUGAGUACUUGACUAAAUCAGUUAAAACUUUCAACAACGGAUCUCUUGGUUCCGGCAUCGAUGAAGAACGCAGCGAAAUGCGAUAAGUAAUGUGAAUUGCAGAAUUCAGUGAAUCAUCGAGUCUUUGAACGCACAUUGCGCCCCCUGGUAUUCCGGGGGGCAUGCCUGUCCGAGCGUCAUUGCUGCCCUCAAGCACGGCUUGUGUGUUGGGCUCUCGCCCCCCGCUUCCGGGGGGCGGGCCCGAAAGGCAGCGGCGGCACCGCGUCCGGUCCUCGAGCGUAUGGGGCUUCGUCACCCGCUCUGUAGGCCCGGCCGGCGCCCGCCGGCGAACACCAUCAAUCUAACCAGGUGACCUCGAUCAGUAGUG